Molecule: long non-coding RNA, 8490 nt
Filed under: Coffea arabica (coffee)
Lineage: Eukaryota; Viridiplantae; Streptophyta; Magnoliopsida; Gentianales; Rubiaceae
Description: long non-coding RNA (CARA_LNC004492)
Source: RNAcentral
AAAUCCUGACCGUUGGAUCUGAUUCCACUAAUCCCCCACCACCUAAAAAAAGCCCUAACACCAAUUCCAUCAAGCCCAGCAAUACGAUUCUCUACAAUUUUACCAGUGACUUUUUUAGAGUAGGUAGCCAAGUAGUUGUCCGGAGGCAGCGUGAUGCGACACGUGUCGUCUAGCUUCAGCACGAAGUCUCCCGAAGUACGGUUGAGAUCGUAAGUUUGGAGGUUGGCAGGGAGUAAGCCUACGGGGAAGCCAUACUCGAGUAGCUCCGCGUGUGCUGCGGUUAAAGUGGGGUUUGGAGAGGAAACGGCGACGUUGCGGAGGAUGCAGGCGGUAAUGGUGAAGAUCAAGAGAGGUUUCGCGGCCAUGGCUAUGGGUGGUGUGUGCCAAUUCUCACUCCUGUAAAAAGUUGUUUGCUACCUCUGGCCUGUCAACAGGAUGAUGAGGAAUUAAUGAAUGAAUAUUCUAGCCUGGCGGUUAGGUUCUGUUUGGUUUGGGUUAGGAAGAAAAACGAUUUUUUUCUUUCUUUUACCAGGGAAGAAAAAAAAGGUCAAAUUUGCUAUUACCAAUCUUUAAAAUUGAAAAUUGGUCGGGAUCAAUAGCUAAGAACUGAAACUUGUGAGUAUGAAAAUCAAUUAAAAAUCCCUGAUUUGAUCCGUGCAAAUAUAGAACUUUUAUUUUUCUUUUCCUUUAUCUAACGGUCAUUGAUAUAUUAUUCAAUAGUAUUUAGCAAUUAGAAUAAGAUACAAAAUCCGAGUAAAAAAAAAGUGGAUAUGAUUACAAUUCACUGAUUAUGUGCAUAUUAAUAUGUAAUAUCAAUGUGCAUCUACAUAAAUUAUAAUCCUAGUUAUAUAUAACAUGUGUUCAACAAGGAGAAACGUUUGAUCGCACUCAUAUGUUAAUUUGAUUCAGCAAUUAGUCACCGAAUAAAAAGCCUAUGAAGACCCAAAUGUCCAUAGUUAGUAUUUGGCAAUAAAUGGGAAAAUCUGAUGGAUGUUAAAGGGUAACAAUUAAUAUCAAAUAAAAAUCCAAUAUUGUAGAAAUAUGUAUGAAAUCUGAUGGUUAAUUCAAUAAGGUUAGAUUGAGAUAUCUAUAAUUCAUUUGGGAUGACAAGCUAAGUUUAUUACUCCAUAUGUUCUCAAACAGCAACCGAUCUUCACCUAUAAGAUGCUAUAGGCAUAUUAUUUUGCAUGCAAUGUUUUUCUUUAUCUAUUACUCAUCUCGUUGCCCACUUCUUUUUGGUCAAUUUAUAAAAAAUUUAAAAAAAAUAAAAAGAAAUGAUAAUUAUUAUUUAGACAUAAAUAUAUGUGUUUGCAAAUUCUAUAUUAAUGCCAUAUUAAGUAUUGCACUAAGUUUUUUUUUAUUUUUCGAUGGGCUUAUUUGUUUUUUUAUAGGUGAGUUUAUUUGUCAUAAAAAGCGUAAUGUUCUUACGAAAUUAUCAAAGCCAGAUAUAGGCGAGGAGAUAUAGUCCAUUUUCAUUUUUCAAGCCAUCUCAUAAUGUAAAAAUUAAUGUGUAAAAAUAAGUUCAUGGGAUCAAAAGAAGUCCCUUUAUAGAAGUAACAAAGCACUAACAAUCAUUUGCCAACGUAGUUGAUCUAAAGGGCCUUUUUUUCAUAUCUUUCUACUCAAACAAACGCUGCCUUAGAGAACUCGUCGGUAAUUUUGGAUGCUGUGCUGCCUCAAGAAGUGCGUCGGCCAUGCAUUUUUUUCCUGUGAUUACGAUGUCGUCUAAGGCAUAUGUGGGCAUGGAGUUGUACUGACAUGAAAGUGAUGGAUUUGACUGCAACGUGGUCGUGCUGAAAUAUCUACAACCCUUACGAAUAUAUAUGAAAGGUGGAGUAACGUACAGCGAGACUUCAUGAUUUACUUACAGCGAGUGAUGAACGGUCGAGAUAGCUUGACAUACAGUGACUAGAAAACGACGGCUCUAUUUGAAUUGGCCUUUUUUUUAAAUAAAAUUUUUAAAUAUAAUAUUAUAAUAAUAUACAAUAACACAAAAAACACCUCAAUUAUAUAAUAUAUCAAAAUUUUUAAAAAUUUUUUUAUAUACAUUGCUACAAUAAAUUUUUUCCAAAAAUAUAUCAAAAAAUAGUUAAUCCAAACAAAGUAUUUAAGCGAAAAAUUUUGAAGGCGCGCUAUUACACGCAAAAGACGUCCGCACCUUUUUGAACAUUAAUUUGAUGAUAACGGUUCUGCAUAAUUACGCCUAUAUAAGGAAUACUGGAACAGAGGACUGUGGGAAGGCGGAUUGAGAGCUUAAUUAAUAUGGCCCAAUAUAAAGUCUCGGCCAAGGUUGAAGAUGUUUAUUUUUUAUGACAACUACUCUUCCAAGGCCAUAUCAGGGCUUCAAACCUCUGUUUUUAAAUUUGGAUCGGACCGGCCGGUCUAACUGGUCGAACCGAAAAUUAGCCAACUAUCUGGUCCAAGUUAACCUUAAAAAUCGGAAAAAUAAGAAUUCGAUCAAAUCAAGUCAAAAAUCGGAUUUGACCGGAUUGGAAACCGAAAAAAAUGAAGAGCUGGGUCUCUUUUUUUGAAAGGUCAAAAUAUUUUUAAUAUUAUGUUUGGGUAAAAAACAAAAAAACCCCCUGUGGUAAAUCUAAUACACAGAAAAGCCUCCUAUGGUUUCAAAAUAUACAACACGAUACCUCAUGCUUUGAACUAAAUUGUAAAGGUGACGGAAUCCGUUAAACUUAACGGAAAUGACUUAUUGGAACCUUAAAAAAAAAUUUAUACCUAAUUUUUAUGAAAUAUACCUAUUCUACCCCUUAACUCUCAAUUUUCUCUAUUUAGAAAAUAAAACAAAUGAUUUUUUGAGCUGUCUUUUGCUUAAUUAUAUCAGGACAUUUUGGUCAUUUUGUCCAUUUCCGUUAUAAAACCCCAUUUAUGAAUCGACUAUCGGAUUGAACGCAUAAUUAUGUGGUAUUUCGUAAAAGGGUUUCGGUAUAAAGAAUUGGAAUAAACCUCAUAAUCAUUGUUUAAAUUACUACUAUUGGAAUUAAAAUUUUGGAGUUAUAUCUAAAAAUGCAAUGGCAUUUCCCAAUUCCCUAGUAACUUGGAAGGUUUGGAUAAAAGCUAAGCUUGAUUCCCUUUUAGAAACGAGCCCGUCUCGCUACUCGUUAAAAAAAUUAAUAUAUAAUAAAUAUAAAUGUAAUUAUAUUUAUAAUUAUUAAAUACACAUAUAAUAUAUUUAAAAUUGUCCCAAAAUCAUCCACCCAAGUUCAAAUUAACCCCCAUCAUUGUGUGCACCGGCACCAUACAGCCAAACCUGCAACUCUACGAGCCCCCAAUCCAUGGGAACACAGUUCCACUGCUUUGUGCCAGAAAAUGCGGCUUAGCUUCACUAAAAGUUAUAAAGUACUUAUAUAUUAUUUUAAAUAGCAUCUAAUAUAACAGGAUCCAUCCAUAAAACCAAUAUUAAAAUCCUAGAACAUGACAGAACAAUGCACGUCCUACUAUAAACAACUGAGAAAGCUCCAAUUACAGUGUUUCUUAGUGCAAUAAUCCACACCAUUCCCUCACUCAGGAAGCCAUUAGGAAAACAUGCUAUCAGUCAAGGGUAAUGAUGCCAACCGAUCAGCAACAUGGCUUGAAAGCUCUUCAAUCAAAACAUUCCCCAUGGGCGGCAAUGCAUCUGUCCCACAAUCAGUAAACGCACCAGCAGCAUCCACUUUCGCAAUCUGCUGCAGCAAUUUUCCCUGCACCAUAUGAAUUUGAUUCCCUUGCUCAAACACAAGAUUUUGAAUGUUUUUAAAAAAUUAUCUAUAAUUUUGCCCACUAAUUCCUGCUUCACCCUCCUUGUCAUUCUCAAGCUAGAGGAACACACAGAACUUAUUUUGAACCCUCCAACUCAACUCUUCUUCUAAUUUCUUUAAAGUGGUUUCUUCCAUGUUCCAUCUAAUGACCAAGAAUAUGCAGAAGAUGCUAUUCAACAUUUUGGCAAGAAUUGAGUAAAAGGACAUGCAUGUAUCUUGUCAUACAAAAGCUCUACCUUUUUCACCUUUUCUCUCUUACUACAUGAGGCUGCCUGAUGAUGAAAGGGUGGUUCAGUAACAGCAACAACUUCGACUUUUACAGACCAAGAAAUAAUUAGCAAAAUUCACUGUCAACGGAGUAUUCUCCUCCAUUCUUUUAGACUUUUCCGUUAGUGUGAUUCUAUCCGAUGAUUUUGCAUUGCAAUGAAUUGCAAAAAAAGAAAUCAUUGGCUCGACAAAGUAUAUGUUGAACCUUUAACUUCUACAAGAAUAUUUCCAAGAGAAAUUUGGAUUUGUGUUCCAAACAAUUUAAGGUAAAAAAAGAAAUUAGAAUAAAGAGAGACAUUCACCAGACUUUCAGAAUACAGCACUUACUAUUGCAAGGAAAAGAAAAGGAAUCCAUACACGAUCACAUAGAUGCGUGAUUUUCAGUCAACAAAGAGACAGGAUACAGACCUUGCUUGCACCCGUGUUUAUCUGUUGAGCAAGCACAUUCCGAACAGCACAAACCACGUCAGCUGCAUCUUGUGAAUAACCAUCACAGGGUUUUGCACUGUCCAGCCCAAAAAUUUUCUUCUCAGGGUCUAGAUAAUAAGGGUCCACACGCAGGCUCACUCCAAGCGCUUCAUAGCCAUUCAUCUCCUCAAUAGCUGCUCGACAAGGUUCAUCACUGUCAAAUUGAACAAAGCCAUAGUCGGCUGAUUGACCAUCAGGACGUCUUGGGAUAUUGAUAUACCAAAUCUUUCCGUAUUUGAAAAAUAGGAAUUCCAAAAGUUCAAUGUCAGCCCAGUCUGGCAAGUUCUGCAAAAAGGUGAGGAUUAAGAAAGAAAAAAAAAAGAAGGGCAAAGCAAUUCCAAGAAAUAGUUAGAAAAACUCACAAAGGCUACAAAGUUUUGAAAAAGUAAAAGAAAUAAAAAAAGGAAAGUACAGUACCCUCACAAACAACGUGUCAGGAACCAGCCCAGUCAUUUUAGUACAUGGAUGACAAUCCAUCAUUUGGAUAGGCCUUCCGUGGAGGGUAGCAGAGGCCAGCUUGUUCAUUGCCAAAUCAGCUGUCAUCAUUAUGGUAAAACAGUAGGGAAAAAAUAAUUACACAUAGCACUUUGAAGGAUUGGAAUAAAACUAAAUACUAUGACAAAAACAUGCUUUGCUAUUGCAAGCAAUCUCUUAUGCUUUUGAAGAGAAUUGCAAAAUGAAACAUAAUAUAAAAGCAAAGCACGGAUCUGAACUGCAAAUAGGAAAACAAUAUUCAAGCAAAAAAGCCAUGGUCGAUAAGCUGCAUAUGGAAUAAAUAUCUUUUUAGAGCCGUUCUUUCAUACCUUAAAUCAAUCCUUAUGUUAAAAUGGAAGAAAACAAGGAAAGUGGGAAUGCACAAGCUCCGAAGGGGAUUAAGAAGGCGAGGAUUGAACUCUCGUUCCAAUGGACCAGGCGAUAUUCAAUAAAACAGAAGCCACAUUGAACCCACCCCGCACACAAUAAUUGGUUCCCACACGUCAAAAUAAUGUUGUAACAGUUAUCAUAGAUGAUAUAUUUUGGUUAAAUGAAAAAUGCUCCUUAUACGUUAACCAUUGAUCACCUUGAUCAAGGAUCUCUCUGACAAGGGGAAAAAAAACUUCAAUUGCCAUGUGAUCCCAUUCUAAGGAGGCACCACUGAAAGAAGAAACUUAAAUAUUUCAUCACUCUUAGAUACUGAGUCAAAAGACAGACACUUGCAUGACAACAAAUUCCUGGCACGUACUAAAUCAAGGAAGAUCCCAACUACAGCUCGCCUAUAUGCAAGAAUAAUCGGGAAUCUUUUCCAAUUUCUGACUUCAAAAAGAGAAACAGGUAUUCGCUCUUCAACAAAAGUCCUAGUACGAUAAUCCAUUCCUCAAAAAUCAUAAUCUAUUUCCACAAACGACAGACAUGGUUCAACAGUUGGCAAUCACUCGUUCAUGACACAAUUGGUCUGCUUUAAAAACGCCAAAAAAAGGGGGGAAAGGGUUAAACAGAAGUUUAUCUAAAUAGAUUUGCAACAAGAGACAUGAACAAUUAGAAAUUCCUCAAUGGCCAACCUUAUAAUGAAUUUUGCAACUACAGAUAUGAAUCACACGAAGCAGCUAUAAAGCAAAGGAAAACAAUUUCAUCAACAGCUGGAUGUCAACAAAACUGACCAUGUUCUUUCUUCGCAAAGGAAACCAGGGCAUAGCGGCCAAUUAUGGAGUCACAGAGAAUCUCAGUCCUAAUCGCGACACACACGCGGAAGAGGCGAUGAACAUCCGCUCCCGUCACGGUAUCGGCCAAAGUCCAAACAUAAAGCAUCGGCAGCCCAGAACCAGCCGAUCGAAGACUACUCAUCUUCUGCUGCACUCGAUCUCCUCCCCGAUAUCUACUCGGUUGGUUUGUGUACUCGUUUUGAACCAAUUCCUAAUUCUCUCGCUUCUAUUCUUCUACAGGAUUCCUUUUCUAUGUUAGUACGCUGUUUUGGGGUUCGACUUGAGUUAUAGGAAAAACGGGAAUUGAGCUUCAAAAUCAUAUAAAAUGUUCAGCGAAUGUUAAAGUCUCAUGGCAUACGGCCUUUUAAUCUUCCACCUACAGUGGCUAAGAGUUAACAAGGGUCCCCCCAGGCCCAAAAAAAUGGCCUUUUAAUCUUGUACCAGCAGUUGCUGAGCAUUAAGAAGGGUCCCCGAGGCCCGUAAAAUCAAUCCCAGUGAUGCAUAAAGUACAAUCUUAAUUGUUUUGAUGAUCCGUAGGGACCUUCACGCAUGCAGGACACGAGCCUCUCGGGUUUCCAACAAUAAUUAAACAAACAAAUCUUCCAAUAUAUAAAGGGGUUAGUCAAGACUUAAGAAAUUGGGGGUCUUUUUCCUACCAGAAAAAAAUUUAAGAAUUGGAACCACGUUAUCUCAUACAGUAAAAAUGAAUGUUAAAAAAAAUUCAUGUGAUCAAAAGAAGUCUCUUUCGAAGAAAAGCACUAAUAUUUGUCACAUUAAAGAGAGCACUAAUAUUUGUCAAAAGUAGUUGAUCUAAAGCAUUUUUCACAUUUUUAUACUCCAACAAACGCAGCUUAAGAGAACUUGUCAGUAACUUGGAUGUUCUCUUAACUCUCGAGAAGUGCGUCGUCAGCCAUGCAUUUUUUUCCCUUGACUACGAUGAGAGUGUUUGGAUAGAAAAUUAUUUAAAAUAUUAUUUAAAAUUAUAAUUAUAGUAUAUUUUGUGAUGUGAUAUACAUAAAUAAAAAAAUAAUUAAAAAAAAUAUGUUAAAUAUUGUACUUGUGAUAUAAGCAAAUAAUUUUUCCAUGUGAGAGCUAAGAGAAGGAAAAAAAAUGGAGUGAUGUGUGUGUAGUGGAAGUGGCGUGAGUGAGCCAAGAGGCAUGCUGGAAGUUUUUUUUAUUUUUUUUGGGAAAGAGGAGGGUCGAGAGAGGGAAUUGAGAGGGGAAAAUUGGAGUCUUGUUUUUUUUGUGUGGCUUGAGAGAAAAAGAAGAAGACCAGAGAGAGCCUCGAGUGGUUUUCUUUUUGUUGCGUCUGUCCUCUCUAAAAGAAGAAGCCAGGCCGAGAGAUGGUUGGGAGUGAAGAGUGCUUUUUUUUUUCUCUGUCUUUGUGCCUUGGUCCUCUUGGACAAUAAGAGACCGUGAGAUUGUCCAAAAGAGUCAGUGGAAUUUGGUUGCCAAAAAAUGAUUAUCUUCACCAAAUGACAAGAAGGAUCCAUGAGAUAAUAUGAUGGAUUUUUUACCGGAAUGAGAAGAAAGAUCAAUGAGGAUGGAGUGUAAAAAUGGGUUAAUAGUAGUUUUGGUGAAACAAAAAUGAUUACAGAAAAUUUUUUCCGUAAAUAAGCACAUAGUAUUAAACAAAUAAAGUAGCUGAUCACAGACUAAAGAAACUAAAACCAAACCAGAAUCAAUUAUUCAAGCAGACAUGAAUUCUUGCAAGCCAGAAUGCACACAUAUCAGUACAAUCAAGACACUAAAUUUUCAAAAUCGAUGCAUUUUUCUUUUCAAUACCUUGUUAAGAAGAAGAACGCUUGCCUUCACAUUCAAGACUUUCAUCGAAAUCCUUAGAUGGAAAACUUUUGGUGAUGUAGCCAACCUCAAAGGUCAAAUCCUGACCGUUGGAUCUGAUUCCACUAAUCCGCCACCACCUAAAAAAAGCCCUAACACCAAUUCCAUCAAGCCCAGCAAUACGAUUCUCUACAAUUUUACCAGUGACUUUUUUGGAGUAGGUAGCCAAGUAGUUGUCCGGAGGCAGCGUUAUGCGACACGUGUCGUCUAGCUUCAGCACGAAGUCUCCCGAAGUACGGUUGAGAUCGUAGGCUUGGAGGUUGGCAGGGAGUAAGCCUACGGGGAAGCCAUACUCGAGUAGCUCCGCGUGUGCAGCGGUUAAAGUGGAGUUUGGCGAGGAAACGGCGACGUUGCGGAGGAUGCAGGCGGUAAUGGUGAAGAUCAAGAGAGGUUUCGCGGCCAUGGCUAUGGGUGGUGGCGGUGCGUGCCAAUUCUCACUCCUGUAAAAAGUUGUUUGCUACCUCUUGACUGUCAACAGGAUGAGG